This 433-nucleotide ribosomal RNA is filed under the name uncultured bacterium. Its description in RNAcentral is "partial 16S ribosomal RNA". It matches the Rfam family "Bacterial small subunit ribosomal RNA", at positions 29 to 507 of the family's 1533-position model. The record is from RNAcentral.
AACGAACGCUGGCGGCAUGCCUAACACAUGCAAGUCGAACGAGACCUUCGGGUCUAGUGGCGCACGGGUGCGUAACGCGUGGGAACCUGCCCUUAGGUUCGGAAUAACUCCCCGAAAGGGGUGCUAAUACCGGAUAAUGUCUUCGGACCAAAGAUUUAUCGCCUUUGGAUGGGCCCGCGUUGGAUUAGCUAGUUGGUAGGGUAAAAGCCUACCAAGGCGACGAUCCAUAGCUGGUCUGAGAGGAUGAUCAGCCACACUGGGACUGAGACACGGCCCAGACUCCUACGGGGGGCAGCAGUGGGGAAUAUUGGACAAUGGGCGAAAGCCAGAUCCAGCAAUGCCGCGUGAGUGAUGAAGGCCUUAGGGUUGUAAAGCUCUUUUACCCGGGAUGAUAAUGACAGUACCGGGAGAAUAAGCUCCGGCUAACUCCGUG